GACGAACGCUGGCGGCGUGCUUAACACAUGCAAGUCGAACGGAAAGGCCUCUUUCGGGGGGUACUCGAGUGGCGAACGGGUGAGUAACACGUGAGUAACCUGCCCUUGACUUUGGGAUAACUUCAGGAAACUGGGGCUAAUACCGGAUAGGAGCUCCUGCUGCAUGGUGGGGGUUGGAAAGUUUCGGCGGUUGGGGAUGGACUCGCGGCUUAUCAGCUUGUUGGUGGGGUAGUGGCUUACCAAGGCUUUGACGGGUAGCCGGCCUGAGAGGGUGACCGGCCACAGUGGGACUGAGAUACGGCCCAGACUCCUACGGGAGGCAGAAGUGGGGAAUAUUGAAAAAUGGGUGGAAGCCUGAUGCAGCAACGCCGUGUGCGGGAUGACGGCCUUCGGGUUGUAAACCGCUUUCGCUCAUGACGAAGCUUUGUGUGACGGUAGUGGGUAAAGAAGCACCGGCUAACUACGUG
RNAcentral lists this ribosomal RNA (467 nucleotides) under uncultured bacterium. RNAcentral's name for it is "partial 16S ribosomal RNA". It matches the Rfam family "Bacterial small subunit ribosomal RNA", at positions 28 to 507 of the family's 1533-position model. The record is from RNAcentral.